AUGCAAGUCGAGCGAAGUGGAGGAAGCUUGCUUCCAAAGCUUAGCGGCGGACGGGUGAGUAACACGUGGGCAAUCUGGCUGUAGGACAGGGAUAACCCCGGGAAACCGGAGCUAAUACCGGAUAGAGGUAAAGAUCGCAUGAACUUUACCGGAAAGAUGGCGCAAGCUAUCACCUGCAGAUGAGCCCGCGGCGCAUUAGCUAGUUGGUGGGGUAACGGCCUACCAAGGCGACGAUGCGUAGCCGACCUGAGAGGGUGAUCGGCCACACUGGGACUGAGACACGGCCCAGACUCCUACGGGAGGCAGCAGUAGGGAAUCUUCCGCAAUGGACGAAAGUCUGACGGAGCAACGCCGCGUGAGUGAUGAAGGUUUUCGGAUUGUAAAACUCUGUCAUUAGGGAAGAACGGCUAUGGUUUAAAGAAGGCCAUAGAGUGACGGUACCUAAAGAGGAAGCCCCGGCUAACUACGUGCCAGCAGCCGCGGUAAUACGUAGGGGGCAAGCGUUGUCCGGAAUUAUUGGGCGUAAAGCGCGCGCAGGCGGUUCUUUAAGUCUGAUGUGAAAGCCCACGGCUCAACCGUGGAGGGUCAUUGGAAACUGGAGGACUUGAGUGCAGGAGAGGAAAGUGGAAUUCCACGUGUAGCGGUGAAAUGCGUAGAGAUGUGGAGGAACACCAGUGGCGAAGGCGACUUUCUGGCCUGCAACUGACGCUGAGGCGCGAAAGCGUGGGGGAGCAAACAGGAU
RNAcentral lists this ribosomal RNA (742 nucleotides) under bacterium enrichment culture clone aHCH2_E5. RNAcentral describes it as "bacterial SSU rRNA". It matches the Rfam family "Bacterial small subunit ribosomal RNA", at positions 55 to 778 of the family's 1533-position model. The record is from RNAcentral.